UGGGGAAUAUUGGGCAAUGGGGGAAACCCUGACCCAGCAACGCCGCGUGAGGGAAGAAGGCUUUCGGGUCGUAAACCUCUGUCCCAUGGGAAGAGUAGAAGACGGUACCAUGGGAGGAAGCCCCGGCUAACUACGUGCCAGCAGCCGCGGUAAUACGUAGGGGGCGAGCGUUGUCCGGAAUGACUGGGCGUAAAGGGCGCGUAGGUGACCUUUCAAGUCUGGAGUGAAAGUCCCGCUUUCAAGGUGGGAAUGGCUUUGGAAACUGAGAGGCUUGAGUGUGGGAGAGGAUAGCGGAAUUCCCGGUGUAGCGGUGAAAUGCGUAGAGAUCGGGAGGAACACCAGUGGCGAAGGCGGCUAUCUGGACCAAGACUGACACUGAAGCACGAAAGCGUGGGUAGCAAACA
RNAcentral lists this ribosomal RNA (404 nucleotides) under uncultured prokaryote. RNAcentral's name for it is "bacterial SSU rRNA". It matches the Rfam family "Bacterial small subunit ribosomal RNA", at positions 355 to 774 of the family's 1533-position model. The record is from RNAcentral.